GAGACAGUUUGGUCCCUAUCUUCCGUGGGCGUUGGAUAUUUGAGGAGAUCUGUUCCUAGUACGAGAGGACCGGAAUGGACGAACCACUGGUGUUCCUGUUGUCGCGCCAGCGGCAUAGCAGGGUAGCUAAGUUCGGUACGGAUAACCGCUGAAAGCAUCUAAGCGGGAAGCCAACUUCAAGAUGAGAUAUCCCCUGACGUUAAGUCAGCUAAAGACCCCUUGGAGACUACAAGGUUGAUAGGCCGGGUGUGUAAGUGCAGUAAUGCAUGGAGCUUACCGGUACUAAUCGGUCGUGAGGCUUAGCCA
This 306-nucleotide ribosomal RNA is filed under the name Desulfobotulus alkaliphilus. Its description in RNAcentral is "partial 23S ribosomal RNA". It matches the Rfam family "Bacterial large subunit ribosomal RNA", at positions 2623 to 2925 of the family's 2925-position model. The record is from RNAcentral. Lineage: Bacteria; Pseudomonadati; Thermodesulfobacteriota; Desulfobacteria; Desulfobacterales; Desulfobacteraceae.